ACGACCUUACUUGAACAGGAUCUGUUGUAUUGACUCGUAUGAUUGUAUCGUUGACCUCUAAGGAGACAGGAAACCGAGUCUAGUUGUUGAAGCAUGGUCUUGUGACCCGAGUGAUUAACAGCCGUCCAUAGCUCCUCAGAGCUGUGUCGUGCAGUAGAUGAUUGUUCUUAGAUCUGGUGUUCUGUAAGGCCUAAAGAUGGUCUCAUGACUAAAAU
This is a non-coding RNA of Capsicum annuum, 215 nucleotides long. NCBI's taxonomy places the organism in Eukaryota, Viridiplantae, Streptophyta, Magnoliopsida, Solanales, Solanaceae. The record is from Rfam.